Molecule: long non-coding RNA, 921 nt
Organism: Cimex lectularius (bed bug)
Lineage: Eukaryota; Metazoa; Arthropoda; Insecta; Hemiptera; Cimicidae
Exons: 4
Source: RefSeq, a predicted model, not a curated record
GCUGCCUUACAUUUAUCCGAUUCACAAAAGGCAAUUCAAUCUCUCUAUCAUGUACGUGCUGGUGUACCUCAGGGCAGCGUACUGGACCCAAUAGUGUAUCAAGUAUACACAGCUGACGACCACCUUUAUCUUUCCAGACGAUCCAGCAAGUCUUUGAAGUAAUAACUAUCCCAUACUUUGUCUCGAUGCAGCAUCGUCCCCACACUGCUCGAAUCUUUGUGCAAGAUAAAGGGUAUGGUUUGUCAUGCUGUUCGGGAUUGAGACGCGUUUUUCCGUGCAAGUAAGUACCUCACCUGAUUGCCUAAUGCCGAAAAUUGCAAAGUGAACACAACCCCACCCAUAGGACCAGGAACCAUUUCGUAAAAUUUCAAACUGCGAGGAAAUACAGAAAUUGCCAAUGGAUCUAGUUUGAUACAACUAUGUGGACCAGCCUAGGACAGAGGCUAGAUGCAGGCAUGAAACCAUCGCAUAAACUUAUAAGUUAUUAGCUAUCUCAAUUACUUAGAAAAUGUCGACCAGCAUUGCCAAAGAUGAAAUUCUGAAAUCGGAAAUGCAGUCCAAUUUUGUACGGCUGUACCUGCGCCAUGUUGUGUGAACGGCGGAGGAGGACUUAUUCGUCUGGACGUCAUUAGCGUCCGGAUGCUCCAGACACGACGGCAGCCGGCAAAAACGUAACGCAGUUCAUUAGGUGGUCGAAGACGGCUACGGUCUAUAGAUUUUCGGAAACCACACAUGGUGUCGGCUCACACGAUAGAUGUAUGAAAUUUCCACCGCUGAAAAAAAAAAACCGAAACAGUAGACCUGACAGAACUCAACGAAGAAAUGUUACUUGUUUUUAAUGUAAUGGAUUUAUUAUUUAGGUAGUCUGGAACAUGAAGGAUCAAAUUGAGGCUGAAGUUCGAAACUUGUAAACACAAUACA